This 426-nucleotide ribosomal RNA is filed under the name uncultured bacterium. RNAcentral's name for it is "bacterial SSU rRNA". It matches the Rfam family "Bacterial small subunit ribosomal RNA", at positions 354 to 796 of the family's 1533-position model. The record is from RNAcentral.
GUGAGGAAUAUUGGGCAAUGGCCGAAAGGCUGACCCAGCAACGCCGCGUGGAGGACGAAGACCUUCGGGUUGUAAACUCCUUUUCUGGGGGACGAGGAAGGACGGUACCUCAGGAAUAAGUCACGGCUAACUACGUGCCAGCAGCCGCGGUAAAACGUAGGUGGCAAGCGUUAUCCGGAUUUACUGGGCGUAAAGCGCGCGCAGGUGGUUAUGUAAGUUGGGUGUAAAAUCUCCUGGCUUAACUAGGAGGGGUCGCUCAAAACUACAUGGCUUGAGGUCGAGAUAGGGGUGCAGAAUUCCCGGUGUAGUGGUGGAAUGCGUAGAUAUCGGGAGGAAUACCAGUGGCGAAAGCGGCGCCCUGGCUCGCACCUGACGCUGAGGCGCGAAAGCGUGGGGAGCAAACGGGAUUAGAUACCCGGGUAGUCC